This 177-nucleotide small nuclear RNA is filed under the name Triticum aestivum (bread wheat). Its description in RNAcentral is "snRNA U1". It matches the Rfam family "U1 spliceosomal RNA". Rfam says of the family: U1 is a small nuclear RNA (snRNA) component of the spliceosome (involved in pre-mRNA splicing). Its 5' end forms complementary base pairs with the 5' splice junction, thus defining the 5' donor site of an intron. Lineage: Eukaryota; Viridiplantae; Streptophyta; Magnoliopsida; Poales; Poaceae. The record is from RNAcentral.
CUAAUGACGUGAGGCUAGUGGCGCACCAGCAGUGCGCCAUUAGAAGGCAAAACUGGUGCGCCACUAGCAUGCCUUUUCCUAGUAGUGUGGUGGGUGCGUUGGCCCAUCAUCUCCCCAAGUGGGAGAGUGAACGUCAUAAUUUGUGGUAGAGGGGGUACGCGUUCGCGCAGCCCCUGC